This is a long non-coding RNA of Metopolophium dirhodum (rose-grain aphid), 1226 nucleotides long. RefSeq lists it as uncharacterized. Lineage: Eukaryota; Metazoa; Arthropoda; Insecta; Hemiptera; Aphididae. The transcript is spliced from 2 exons. The record is from RefSeq and is a predicted model, not a curated record.
UAUCGUACGGAACCCUAAAAAGUAGCAUUUUAGCUUAACUUAUUUCAUGGUACAGAAAUACGAUAGAUCCGGCGUCACAGGGUUACUAUUAGCAUUGAGCAUAGCGAUUAUUAAUUAUUCAUUAUUAUGAUAAAAAUUAUUUAUCGGCGUUCCAUGUUAUUAUUUUUCAAUAAGCCCGUAAACCCGCUUCUCGUCGGUCACCACUGCGACGGUUGGCACCAUGGCGAAUUAAAUUAAUUAAAUAAUUUUCAUGGUUGGCACUACCGACCGCGACAUCGCACCAUAGGGCAUAGAUUAUAGCUAUAUAUUAUGAUCGAACGGCGUCCUUUUCGACGCGGAUUGCCGGCAUCAGCUGUCGGGCGGCGGCGGCGGCCGGCUAGCCGGGACACCGGGCACAGAACAAAGGAACAAACGCCGUCCAAUACAUUUCCAUUUUCGAGGCGUUGGCUGUCGGGCGUCGGCCAUCUUUGCUCUUGUGACGUUUUACACAUCGUUGGCGUUUGCUUUCCGCUUUUUUCAACCAUGUCAUUCGGUUCGGACCAGGGUAGUUGUAUUACGACUACCCUGGUCUGGAAUAUGGAUUGCCGAACAUUUUAGAUCGUGCGUGGGGUCGAACGCCGUUGAGAAAGUCAAAAUCACUGGUCCUGUGCAUCAAUAUGGGCGGAAGAAAAAAAAUGGCAGCCAUACUAGCAGUAACACACUCAAAUCUCAAAACUCAAUAUCAAAAAUAAUUCGUUGUUUUCACCUUCUACUGUGGUCAUGGUAAUAUUAUAAUCCUAAACAAAUCCAUUUUCGUGUGCGUACUUCAGAAAUAUAAUUACCCCCGAUCCUGUAGCAUCCGUACUCCGAGAUCAACCUUUUUUAUAUACGUAUUCCAUGCAGCCCAGAUGUUCAAUUGCCAUAGCCUUGGCACGAGUGUUUCUAUCCGAUGGAAAAACUAGCUGUGGGAUAGAAGUUUGUGUGCCAAGGCUAGGGCAUUUGGACUGCUUGGGAUACGUGUGUAAAAACGUCUGGUCUUGUCGUUAAUAUUACAUCAAAGGUGCCACUAGUUCGGAACGAUUAGAUUAUCUGAAAUAUGUACACGGAGACAGGAGCCGUUAUUGAGAUAAAAUUAUUACCUGACUUUACCAAUCAAUAAAUAAUCAUGUUGUUUUCUCUUGCUUUAUAAAAAUAAAUUGCCAUAGUUUAAAGAUAUUACAGAUUAUAUAAAUAUAACAACAUUUUUU